Molecule: ribosomal RNA, 489 nt
Filed under: Periphetes quezonicus
Lineage: Eukaryota; Metazoa; Arthropoda; Insecta; Phasmatodea; Lonchodidae
Description: partial 28S ribosomal RNA
Source: RNAcentral
AUUCGAAAGGGGCAAAAGGAUUCAAAGUUCACCAUCUCAGAGUCCGCCAACUUCCUGAUGUUGCUGGGCGCCCGCUGCGAUUAGUUUCGUUUGCGGUGUCGUUUGCGGCAAUCACAGAGCGGUUCGGCGCGGUACACUGACAGUGGUCGAGUGCACUUCCCCCCUGAGUAGAAACGUCGCGACCCGUUGGGAGCCAGUCAUAAGGCCUGGGAUGGUAGCCCACGUGUCCUGGGGAGGAUUUCGCAGGCGCGUGGAACGCCCGGUGACCCGGCUGGCGCCCGACGGUAUAACCAGAGGAGUCAGUCCGCUGUAAGUGAAACACUGUGGUGUGCAGCGUCCGGCACUGGCGUCAACGUGUACGGGGUUCCAGGUGAAAACUGGGGGCAGCGGUGCGAUGCACUUCCCCGACCUUGUACAUGUUCGUCGCUGGUGUCCUCGGACAGGAUCAGUACUCCCGUCCGCGGCGCCCAACGUCGGAUUUUCUCCCGC